UUAGAUCACCGAAGUCAAGCACCAUUGGGCGCGGUCAGUACUUGGGUGGGUGACCACCUGGGAACACCGCGUGCCGUU
Non-coding RNA from Caerostris extrusa, 78 nucleotides. Lineage: Eukaryota; Metazoa; Arthropoda; Arachnida; Araneae; Araneidae. The record is from the annotation of a GenBank genome assembly.